This 133-nucleotide ribosomal RNA is filed under the name uncultured bacterium. Its description in RNAcentral is "partial 16S ribosomal RNA". The record is from RNAcentral.
GUGAUUAGCCGUCUCUUAUUCGUAAGGUACCGUCAUUAUCUUCCCUUACAAAAGUACUUUACACCCCAAAGGGGCUUCAUCGUACACGCGGCGUCGCUCCGUCAGGCUUUCGCCCAUUGCGGAAGAUUCCUCA